This 257-nucleotide ribosomal RNA is filed under the name uncultured prokaryote. RNAcentral's name for it is "partial 16S ribosomal RNA". It matches the Rfam family "Bacterial small subunit ribosomal RNA", at positions 521 to 777 of the family's 1533-position model. The record is from RNAcentral.
UAAUACGGGGGGGGCAAGCGUUGUUCGGAAUUACUGGGCGUAGAGGGUUCGUAGGUGGCUUGCUAAGUCAGACGUGAAAUCCCUCAGCUUAACUGGGGAACUGCGUCUGAGACUGGCGAGCUUGAGUGCAGGAGAGGAACGCGGAAUUCCAGGUGUAGCGGUGAAAUGCGUAGAUAUCUGGAGGAACACCGGUGGCGAAGGCGGCGUUCUGGACUGCAACUGACACUGAGGAACGAAAGCCAGGGGAGCAAACGGGA